AACGAACGCUGGCGGCAUGCCUAACACAUGCAAGUCGAACGAGACCUUCGGGUCUAGUGGCGCACGGGUUCGUAACGCGUGGGAACCUGCCCUUAGGUUCGGAAUAACUCCCCGAAAGGGGUGCUAAUACCGGAUAAUGUCUUCGGACCAAAGAUUUAUCGCCUUUGGAUGGGCCCGCGUUGGAUUAGCUAGUUGGUAGGGUAAAAGCCUACCAAGGCGACGAUCCAUAGCUGGUCUGAGAGGAUGAUCAGCCACACUGGGACUGAGACACGGCCCAGACUCCUACGGGAGGCAGCAGUGGGGAAUAUUGGAAAAUGGGCGAAAGCCUGAUCCAGCAAUGACGCGUGAGUGAUGAAGGCAUUAGGGUUGUAAAGCUCUUUUAACCGGGAUGAUAAUGACAGUACCGGGAGAAUAAGCUCCGGCUAACUCCGUG
Molecule: ribosomal RNA, 433 nt
Filed under: uncultured bacterium
Lineage: Bacteria
Description: partial 16S ribosomal RNA
Rfam family: Bacterial small subunit ribosomal RNA
Source: RNAcentral